GAUGGCGACCGGCGCACGGGUGAGUAACACGUAUCCAACCUACCUAUUACUCGGGUAUAGCCUUUCGAAAGAAAGAUUAAUCCCCGAUACGAUAUUGAGUUCGCAUGAAUUUGAUAUGAAAGAUUUAUUGGUAUUAGAUGGGGAUGCGUUCCAUUAGAUUGUUGGUGAGGUAACGGCUCACCAAGUCUUCGAUGGAUAGGGGUUCUGAGAGGAAGGUCCCCCACACUGGAACUGAGACACGGUCCAGACUCCUACGGGAGGCAGCAGUGAGGAAUAUUGGUCAAUGGGCGAGAGCCUGAACCAGCCAAGUAGCGUGAGGGAUGACUGCCCUAUGGGUUGUAAACCUCUUUUAUAAGGGAAUAAAAGGGUCCACGAGUUGGAUUUUUGCAUGUACCUUUUGAAUAAGGAUCGGCUAACUCCGUGCCAGCAGCCGCGGUAAUACGGAGGAUCCGAGCGUUAUCCGGAUUUAUUGGGUUUAAAGGGUGCGUAGGCGGACUGAUAAGUCAGCUGUGAAAGUUUGCGGCUCAACCGUAAAAUUGCAGUUGAAACUGUUAGUCUUGAGUGUACAUAAGGUAGGCGGAAUUCGUGGUGUAGCGGUGAAAUGCUUAGAUAUCACGAAGAACUCCGAUU
RNAcentral lists this ribosomal RNA (630 nucleotides) under uncultured Bacteroidales bacterium. RNAcentral's name for it is "bacterial SSU rRNA". It matches the Rfam family "Bacterial small subunit ribosomal RNA", at positions 87 to 714 of the family's 1533-position model. The record is from RNAcentral. Lineage: Bacteria; Pseudomonadati; Bacteroidota; Bacteroidia; Bacteroidales.